This 2785-nucleotide ribosomal RNA is filed under the name human gut metagenome. RNAcentral describes it as "bacterial LSU rRNA". It matches the Rfam family "Bacterial large subunit ribosomal RNA". The record is from RNAcentral.
GAAAGUAAGCAAGGGCGCAUGGCGGAUGCCUUGGCUCUCGGAGGCGAUGAAGGACGUGAUAAGCUGCGAUAAGCUUCGGGUAGGUGCAAAUAACCUUUGAUCCGAAGAUUUCCGAAUGGGACAACCCGUCAUUCUGAAGGAAUGACAUCUUGCAUAGCAAGAGGCUAACGCAGGGAACUGAAACAUCUUAGUACCUGUAGGAAAAGAAAAUAAUAAUGAUUCCCCUAGUAGUGGCGAGCGAACGGGGAUUAGCCCAAACCAAUGUUGUUACGGCAAUAUUGGGGUUGUAGGACCACGAUGUCGCAAGAAAUUUAGUGAGAAGAACCCUUUGGAAAAUGGGACCAUAGACGGUGAUAGUCCGGUAUUCGAAGCUAAAUGAAGCGUAGUGGUAUCCUGAGUAGCGCGGGACACGAGGAAUCUUGCGUGAAUCUGCCGGGACCAUCCGGUAAGGCUAAAUACUCCCGAGAGACCGAUAGCGAACCAGUACUGUGAAGGAAAGGUGAAAAGCACUUCGAAUAGAAGAGUGAAAUAGUCCCUGAAACCGUGCGCCUACAAGCGGUCGGAGCUGCUUCAGCAGUGACGGCGUGCCUUUUGCAUAAUGAACCUACGAGUUACUUUUUCCGGCAAGGUUAAGGAUCUUGAGAUCCGCAGCCGAAGCGAAAGCGAGUCUUAACAGGGCGAUUAGUCGGAAGGAGUAGACGCGAAACCAAGUGAUCUACCCUUGGUCAGGUUGAAGGUUAGGUAACACUAACUGGAGGACCGAACCGAUAAGCGUUGAAAAGCUUCCGGAUGAACUGAGGGUGGGGGUGAAAGGCUAAUCAAACUUGGAGAUAGCUCGUACUCCCCGAAAUGCAUUUAGGUGCAGCCUUGGGAAUUACUACUGUGAGGUAGAGCGACUGAUAAGAUGCGAGGGCUUCACCGCCUAUCAAGUCUUGAUAAACUCCGAAUGCGCAGUAGUUCGAUCCCAGGAGUGAGGGCAUGGGUGCUAAGGUCCAUGUCCUAAAGGAGAAGAAUCCGGACCAUCAGCUAAGGUCCCGAAAUAAUUGCUAAGUUGAACUAACGAAGUCAGAUUGCUAAGACAGCUAGGAUGUUGGCUUGGAAGCAGCCAUUCAUUUAAAGAGUGCGUAACAGCUCACUAGUCGAGGAGUUUGGCGUGGAUAAUAAUCGGGCAUUAAGCAAUUUACCGAAGCUAUGGGAUCCGUAAGGAUCGGUAGGGGAGCAUUCCACUCUGCGUCGAAGGUGAAGCGUGAGCUUUGCUGGAGCGUGUGGAAAAGCAAAUGUAGGUAUAAGUAACGAUAAAGGGGGUGAGAAACCCCCUCGCCGAAAGACUAAGGUUUCCUGAUCAACGCUAAUCGGAUCAGGGUUAGUCGGGUCCUAAGGCUCAGCCGAACGGUGAGGCCGAUGGCAGAACAGGUUAAUAUUCCUGUACUACCUUAAGGAGUGACGUGGAGACGGAGGAGUGACAGCGCCGCGGACUGACGGAAUAGUCCGUUGAAGGGUGUAGAUGUUGAUUAUCCCAGGCAAAUCCGGGAUAAGAGUCGAACCUGAUAGUAUACCAAAUUCUUCGGAAUAAGGUAAUAGUGCGUGUAAGCAUACUCCCAAGAAAAUCCGCUAAACUUAAUCUUUAAGGUACCCGUACCGCAAACGGACACACGUAGUCGGGUUGAAUAUACUAAGGCGCUUGAGUGAUUCACGGUUAAGGAACUAGGCAAAUUGACCCUGUAACUUCGGGAUAAAGGGUCCCAACGAGAGUUGGGCGCAGAGAAUAGGUCCAGGCAACUGUUUAACAAAAACACAGGGCUGUGCCAAAUUGAAAGAUUACGUAUACAGCCUGACACCUGCCCGGUGCUGGAAGGUUAAGAGGAGAUGUCAUCGCAAGAGAAGCAUUGAAUUGAAGCCCCAGUAAACGGCGGCCGUAACUAUAACGGUCCUAAGGUAGCGAAAUUCCUUGUCGGGUAAGUUCCGACCUGCACGAAUGGUGUAAUGAUCUGGACACUGUCUCAACCGUGAGCUCAGUGAAAUUGUAGUAUCGGUGAAGAUGCCGAUUACCCGCGAUGGGACGAAAAGACCCCGUGAACCUUUACUAUAGCUUAACAUUGAAUUUGGGUAAUUGAUGUGUAGGAUAGGCCGGAGACUUUGAAUCAGGUACGCCAGUAUUUGUGGAGUCGCUGUUGAAAUACGGCCCUUUGAUUAUUUGAGUUCUAACUCGUAGAUGCGAGGACACUGUUUGGUGGGUAGUUUGACUGGGGUGGUCGCCUCCAAAAGUGUAACGGAGGCUUCUAAAGGUGCCCUCAGGACGAUUGGUAACCGUCCGUAGAGUGUAAUGGCAUAAGGGCGCUUGACUGGGAGACAGACAAGUCGAUCAGGUAGGAAACUAGAGCAUAGUGAUCCGGUGUUUCCGCAUGGAAGGGACAUCGCUCAAAGGAUAAAAGGUACUCCGGGGAUAACAGGCUGAUCCCUCCCAAGAGCUCAUAUCGACGGAGGGGUUUGGCACCUCGAUGUCGGCUCGUCACAUCCUGGGGCUGGAGAAGGUCCCAAGGGUUGGGCUGUUCGCCCAUUAAAGUGGCACGCGAGCUGGGUUCAGAACGUCGUGAGACAGUUCGGUCUCUAUCUAUCGUGGGCGUAUGAAAUUUGCGUGGCUCUGACACUAGUACGAGAGGACCGUGUUGGACUGACCGCUGGUUUACCAGUUGUGCCGCCAGGUGCAUCGCUGGGUAUCUAAGUCGGGAUUGGAUAAGUGCUGAAAGCAUCUAAGUACGAAGCCAGCCACAAGAUUAGAUUUCUU